This 537-nucleotide long non-coding RNA is filed under the name Gallus gallus (chicken). RNAcentral describes it as "lncRNA (ENSGALG00010018569.1)". The record is from RNAcentral. Lineage: Eukaryota; Metazoa; Chordata; Aves; Galliformes; Phasianidae.
AUGUGAUAGGGCCCCAUAUCCCCAUAGGAUCCCAUAUGGCCACAUACGGCCCCAUAGGAUCCCAUAGGGCCCCAUAUCCCCAUAGGAUCCCAUAUGGCCCCAUACGGCCCCAUAGGAUCCCAUAGGGCCCCAUAGCCCCAUAGGACCCCAUAAGGCCCUAUAGGACCCCAUACAGCCCCAUAGGAUCCCAUAGGGCCCCAUAGCCCCAUAGGAUCCCAUAGGAACCCACAGGAUCCCAUAGGAUCCCAUAGGGCCCCAUAGCCCCAUAGGGCCCCAUAGAAUCCCAUAGGUCCCCAUAGGAUCUGAUAGGGCCCCAUAUCCCCAUAGGAUCCCAUAUGGCCCCAUACGGCCCCAUAGGAUCCCAUAGGGCCCCAUAGCCCCAUAGGACCCCAUAUGGCCCCAUACGGCCUCAUAUGAACCCAUAGGGCCCCAUAUCCCCAUACAGCCCCAUACGGCCCCAUAGGAACCCAUAGGAUCCCAUACGGCCCCAUAGGAAUCCAUAGGGUCCAAUAUCCCUAUAUGGCCCCAUAAGGCCCC